This 253-nucleotide ribosomal RNA is filed under the name uncultured bacterium. RNAcentral's name for it is "partial 16S ribosomal RNA". It matches the Rfam family "Bacterial small subunit ribosomal RNA", at positions 524 to 776 of the family's 1533-position model. The record is from RNAcentral.
UACGGAGGGGACUAGCGUUGUUCGGAAUUACUGGGCGUAAAGCGCACGUAGGCGGCUUUGCAAGUCAGAGGUGAAAGCCUGGAGCUCAACUCCAGAAUUGCCUUUGAGACUGCAUCGCUUGAACACGGGAGAGGUGAGUGGAAUUCCGAGUGUAGAGGUGAAAUUCGUAGAUAUUCGGAAGAACACCAGUGGCGAAGGCGGCUCACUGGACCGUUGUUGACGCUGAGGUGCGAAAGCGUGGGGAGCAAACAGG